Molecule: ribosomal RNA, 465 nt
Filed under: Vreelandella stevensii
Lineage: Bacteria; Pseudomonadati; Pseudomonadota; Gammaproteobacteria; Oceanospirillales; Halomonadaceae
Description: partial 16S ribosomal RNA
Rfam family: Bacterial small subunit ribosomal RNA
Source: RNAcentral
CCUACGGGUGGCAGCAGUGGGGAAUAUUGGACAAUGGGGGGAACCCUGAUCCAGCCAUGCCGCGUGUGUGAAGAAGGCCCUCGGGUUGUAAAGCACUUUCAGUGAGGAAGAACGCCUGGUGGUUAAUACCCAUCAGGAAAGACAUCACUCACAGAAGAAGCACCGGCUAACUCCGUGCCAGCAGCCGCGGUAAUACGGAGGGUGCGAGCGUUAAUCGGAAUUACUGGGCGUAAAGCGCGCGUAGGUGGCUUGAUAAGCCGGUUGUGAAAGCCCCGGGCUCAACCUGGGAACGGCAUCCGGAACUGUCAAGCUAGAGUGCAGGAGAGGAAGGUAGAAUUCCCGGUGUAGCGGUGAAAUGCGUAGAGGUCGGGAGGAAUACCAGUGGCGAAGGCGGCCUUCUGGACUGACACUGACACUGAGGUGCGAAAGCGUGGGUAGCAAACAGGAUUAGAUACCCCGGUAGUC